UACGGAGGAUGCGAGCGUUAUCCGGAUUUAUUGGGUUUAAAGGGUGCGCAGGCGGUCUGUUAAGUCAGCGGUCAAAGCCCGGGGCUCAACCCCGGCCCGCCGUUGAAACUGUUAUUCUAGAGUAUGGGAGAGGUAGGUGGAAUUCUUGGUGUAGGGGUAAAAUCCGUAGAGAUCAAGAGGAAUACUCAUUGCGAAGGCGACCUGCUAGAACAUAACUGACGCUGAUGCGCGAAAGCGUGGGGAGCAAACAGG
RNAcentral lists this ribosomal RNA (252 nucleotides) under uncultured bacterium. RNAcentral describes it as "partial 16S ribosomal RNA". It matches the Rfam family "Bacterial small subunit ribosomal RNA", at positions 524 to 776 of the family's 1533-position model. The record is from RNAcentral.